GCAUGUAGCUCAGUGGUAGAGCAUGUAGUCUGCAUGCCAAAGGUUGUAAGUUCAAUCCCUUGCAUCUGCA
Podarcis lilfordi (Lilford's wall lizard) is the source of this 70-nucleotide non-coding RNA. The record is from the annotation of a GenBank genome assembly. NCBI's taxonomy places the organism in Eukaryota, Metazoa, Chordata, Lepidosauria, Squamata, Lacertidae.